CCUGUAACCAUGCCGAACACAGAAGUUAAGCUUCUUAGCGCCGAUUGUAGUGAGGGGUUGCCCCUUGUGAGAGUAGGACGCCGCCACGC
RNAcentral lists this ribosomal RNA (89 nucleotides) under Enterococcus mundtii. Lineage: Bacteria; Bacillati; Bacillota; Bacilli; Lactobacillales; Enterococcaceae. The record is from RNAcentral.